UGUUGACUUUAAUUAGAAGCAUCAGCUUCUUCUCCUUCAACCGACCACCGCCACCAUGGCCACACACACGCAGGCAUGAAAGGGGGAGAGAAACCCUCCUUUCUCUCUCUAAAUAUCUCUCUCAUCUCUCUAUAUCUCUCUUUAAAAAUUAGAGGGUUGGUGGAGAUCGAGCUUGCGAACGCGUUGGAGGCGACGGAUUGAGCUUUCGUGCGCCCGUUGGAGCGGCGUGUUUUCGUUGCGGCGUUCACAUUGGGGUAAGCUUUUGGGAUUUGGUUUAAUCCUUAGCUUUAAGUGCACUAAUAGCCUCUAAUGAGCAUUGAUAGCAUGUUGUUCCAUUUAAUUGGGAUUAUUUGGAGGUUAAUUCAUGUUAGGGCUCAAAAAUGCUAAUUUUCAAAAUAUGAGGGUUUGAUCUAAUUUGACCCUCCGUAAACCAAAUUGCUAGGUAAACGAACGCGUUGGCGAAGACGGUUCGGUAAUCCGACGAGCCGUUACAAAGUUGUUAAAGAAACGGACGUUUAGGCUUCGUUACCGCCUGGAGGGCCGAGGCGACGUCGUAAAAUCGUGGAAAUGGAUUUGAAGCACCGUGGCACAUAACCGAAGACCUUUAAUUUUCGGAUCAUGGAUUGGAGGCCGUUCGGGUGGUCGCGUAAAAGAUCGGGCCAAACCGGGUUACGGAGACCGCGGGAGGCCGAUUGCAAGUGUCGACAAGCAAUCGGAAAGCGUUUUGAGGUGGGUCGUGCUCACCGAAGCGAUUAGGUCGCUUUCCAUGCUAAAGUGUAGUAUGUUUACUAUUGAUGCAUGAUAAAGUAUGCUAUUUAAGAAUGAAUGAUAAAGAUUAAAGUAUGCUAUUUAAGAAUGAAUGAUAAAGAUUAAAGUAUGCUAUUUAAGAAUGAAUGAUAAAGAUUAAAGUAUGCUAUUUAAGAAUGCAUGAUAAAGAUUAAAGUAUGCUAUUUAAGAAUGCAUGAUAAAGAUAGAUGUCAAAUGAAUGCAUGAGUUAAUGUUAAUUUACAUGAGCAUAUUAUAGAAAUGUUAAACAGAUGUCAAAUGAAAGUAUGAGAUUUAUUCUAACCGAGAAUGCAUGUGGUAAAUGUUAAUGAAUGAAUAAAAUGCUAAAUGAUGACUACCAAUGGAUGACAAAAUAUCCACAUAAUGAACAUAGAUCGAGUAGCAUUUGAAAAUGGUAAAAUGGACACUAGAGUUAGUGUGGGCAUCAAAGAAUAAAUGUUGUGUAAAGAACAAUGAUAAUGGCUAGAGGUAAUGUAAAGUAAUGUGGCAUAAAGAAUAAGCAAAGUGUAAAGAAUAAUGAUAAUGGCUAGAGACAAUGUAAAGUAAUGUGGCAUAAAGAACAAGCAAAGUGUAAAGAACAAUGAUAAUGGCUAAAGUUAGCAACCAAUGUGACAUAAAGAACACUAGAGUUAGUGUGUGGCAAUAAAAGAACAAGUGUGGUAUCAAGAAUGAUAAUUACUAAAGUAAUUGAUAAUUGUGGUAUAAAGAAUAAUGAUUGCUAGAGUUAGCAACUAAUGUGAUGUAAAGAACACUAGAGUUAGUGUAAAACCAUGAUCCAACUAAAUAUCCUUAGAGUUAAGGAUUGAUCAUACUUGCUAUGAGUUCCGUGCUCGAGGGCGGUCGCUCCCCCUCGAGCGAUGCGCUCCGGAGUUUUGCAUCACGGGUUGGAGUAAACCCAAGGACGGUCCUAGCGGGUGAGUUCCUGCGAUGAUGGACUUAAUGUGAAACAAGUUAAUGUGGCGAAACCUACGGGUUAGCCAGAAAGAAUUGUGAAUUUGAAAGUGGAUCUUGUAUACAUUAUGAAUUGACUCAAGACCGAGUCGAGUGGCAUAGUUGGCUAAGGUAAAUGUAACGUUAGGAAAGAGUGAUAAGUGAGAAAGACUUGUUAAUGUUAUAAAGAAUGGCAAAUGUGUAUGAUGAGCCUAAGGCGCGAGUGCCCUUAGUAAAGGAUAAAGAACAAAGAAUAAAGCAUAAGGAAUAAAGCAUAAAGAAUAAAGAAUAAAGAAUAAAGAUUAAAGAAUAAAGAAUGGCUAAUGAUAAAGAAUUACUUAUUCUAAAGAAAGGCUAAUGGUAAAGAAUGACUAAGAGUUGCAUAAUUUGCAUAUUUGUGAGGCAUGAACAUGUAUUGCAUGAUGUUAUAUGUAUAUAUAUCUGUUGGACUAACAUGUUGCAGUGCCUCCUUUGGACCUGGUGGGUUGAGCUCUUCCCUUGGGUGGCUGUACCCACUGAGGACUAUGGACAAUAGUUUCACCCCCGUGUUGUUGUUUUUGGGGGUACAGGUUCACACGCGAGCGGCGCGGCGGCGCGAGGAAAGGGCGUAGCUCCGUAGUUAGCGCCCUACCACAGAGACCAGAUAGCAGCACCCUGAGUCGGCUUCUUAGGGGUAUAAGAAAAGAAAAGAAAAGAAUCGAUGUGGUAAUAUUAUGUUUAGAAAUCGAUUGUAUAUUUGGAAGUUGAGGAUCAUUGUAAUGAAAAAUGCGAUGUAAAAUGAUGAGAUGAAUGAUUGUAAUAAUAUAGGAUGUGUUAUGUUGUUUGAUACCUUCCUUAUGCAAUCGUGGUUGAAAAUUGUUCCUGUUUGGAACCUCUUGUACUUGUAUUGAUUGCGACGCCUUGAACGUACAGGGGAGGCUCUGUCCGCGUGCAGGGAAAGUCCUGUCCGUUCGGCGGUCUGUUGGCGUGCCCGAAUCCGACCAAAUAGGCGGGCUCGGGGCGUGACA
RNAcentral lists this long non-coding RNA (2723 nucleotides) under Ananas comosus (pineapple). RNAcentral describes it as "long non-coding RNA (ACOM_LNC024360)". Lineage: Eukaryota; Viridiplantae; Streptophyta; Magnoliopsida; Poales; Bromeliaceae. The record is from RNAcentral.